Molecule: transfer RNA, 72 nt
Filed under: Loxodonta africana (African savanna elephant)
Lineage: Eukaryota; Metazoa; Chordata; Mammalia; Proboscidea; Elephantidae
Rfam family: tRNA
About the family: Transfer RNA (tRNA) molecules are approximately 80 nucleotides in length. Their secondary structure includes four short double-helical elements and three loops (D, anti-codon, and T loops).
Source: Rfam by way of RNAcentral
GCCCUGGUAGUGCAACAGUUAAGCGCUUGGCUGCUAACCAAAAGGUUGGUGGUUUGAAUCCAUCCAGUGGCU